This 105-nucleotide small nuclear RNA is filed under the name Mnemiopsis leidyi (sea walnut). The record is from RNAcentral. Lineage: Eukaryota; Metazoa; Ctenophora; Tentaculata; Lobata; Bolinopsidae.
UACUACUUUGGUAGUGCAUAUACUAUAAUUGGAACGAUACAGAGAAGAUUAGCAUGGCCCCUGCGCAAGGAUGACACGCCAAUUCGUGAAGCGUUCCAAAUUUUU